Molecule: ribosomal RNA, 492 nt
Filed under: uncultured bacterium
Lineage: Bacteria
Description: partial 16S ribosomal RNA
Rfam family: Bacterial small subunit ribosomal RNA
Source: RNAcentral
AGUGAACGCUGGCGGUAGGCCUAACACAUGCAAGUCGAACGGCAGCACAGUAAGAGCUUGCUCUUACGGGUGGCGAGUGGCGGACGGGUGAGGAAUACAUCGGAAUCUACUUUUUCGUGGGGGAUAACGUAGGGAAACUUACGCUAAUACCGCAUACGACCUACGGGUGAAAGCAGGGGAUCUUCGGACCUUGCGCGAUUGAAUGAGCCGAUGUCGGAUUAGCUAGUUGGCGGGGUAAAGGCCCACCAAGGCGACGAUCCGUAGCUGGUCUGAGAGGAUGAUCAGCCACACUGGAACUGAGACACGGUCCAGACUCCUACGGGAGGCAGCAGUGGGGAAUAUUGGACAAUGGGCGCAAGCCUGAUCCAGCCACACCGCGUGGGUGAAGAAGGCCUUCGGGUUGUAAAGCCCUUUUGUUGGGAAAGAAAAGCAGCAGGUUAAUACCCCGCUGUUCUGACGGUACCCAAAGAAUAAGCACCGGCUAGCUUCGUG